UUGCUGUCACUGGCAGCACAUAAACUAAAAAUAGAGCAAUACAGAGAGAUUUUCAUAGUUCCUGCCCGAAGAUGACAAGGACAUUUGUGAAGCAUUCUAUAUUUAC
Molecule: small nuclear RNA, 106 nt
Filed under: Mus pahari (shrew mouse)
Lineage: Eukaryota; Metazoa; Chordata; Mammalia; Rodentia; Muridae
Source: RNAcentral